RNAcentral lists this ribosomal RNA (1557 nucleotides) under Triticum aestivum (bread wheat). RNAcentral's name for it is "partial small subunit ribosomal RNA". The record is from RNAcentral. Lineage: Eukaryota; Viridiplantae; Streptophyta; Magnoliopsida; Poales; Poaceae.
AUGGCUCUAGCAUCGCCGGUGGACUAUGCUGGCAUAAUCACUUCAAGUCAGAGGCAACUCAGUUCUGUGAUGCCCCGGUGCAAUGGCUUGCAAUGUACUAUUGGAUAUGGAAAUAAAUCAAGAGCUACAGGUCACUUGGUCGUCAGAGCCAUGUCCAUGGAUCGCCCGAAACUGGACUUUUCGAAUCCGAAUUGGAAGAAUCAAUUCCAAGAGGAUUUUGAUAGGCGGUUCAGUUUGCCGCAUUUGACAGACAUAAUUGAUGUGGAGUCGAGGCCAACAACAUUUUCUCUCAAGAGCAGGACCCCUCUGGAGAAUGUUGAUGGUUCUUUGGAAGAGUCAUGGAACGGCUAUGUUAAUGACGACGACAGAGCACUUUUGAAGGUUAUCAAGUUUGCCUCGCCAACGUCUGCUGGAGCUGAAUGCAUUGAUCCUGAUUGCAGCUGGGUUGAACAAUGGGUGCACCGGGCAGGCCCACGUAAACAAAUAUAUUUUGAGCCUCAGUGCGUAAAGGCUGGAAUUGUAACUUGUGGCGGACUUUGCCCUGGUCUCAACGAUGUCAUCCGGCAGAUUGUGCUUACGCUUGAAAAAUACGGAGUGAAAAACAUUGUUGGGAUACAGCAUGGUUUCCGCGGAUUUUUUGAAGACCAUUUAGCGGAAGUGCCGCUUAAUAGACAUGUCGUCCAAAAUAUCAAUCUUGCUGGUGGCGGGGCAAGUAUUUCAGACAUUGUCGACAGCAUCCAGGCCAGGAGGCUUGACAUGCUCUUUGUACUAGGUGGAAAUGGAACUCAUGCUGGAGCUGAUGCUAUACAUGGCGAGUGCCGGAAGAGAAAACUAAAAGUGUCGAUUAUUGGUGUCCCAAAAACAAUUGACAAUGACAUACUACUGAUGGACAAGACAUUUGGAUUUGAUACUGCAGUGGAGGCAGCACAAAGAGCUAUCAACUCCGCAUAUAUUGAGGCACAUUCCGCAUUUCAUGGCAUCGGAUUGGUGAAGCUGAUGGGAAGAAGCAGCGGAUUUAUCACAAUGCAUGCUUCCCUGUCAAGCGGGCAAGUCGACAUUUGCCUGAUACCUGAGGUACCAUUCACCCUUGAUGGACCGAAUGGAGUUCUUCGGCACCUUGAGCACUUGAUAGAGACCAAGGGGUUUGCUCUCAUGUGUGUCGCCGAAGGUGCUGGGCAGGAAUAUUUGCAGAAGUCGAACGCAACUGAUGCUUCAGGGAACAUGGUUCUUAGUGAUAUCGGUGUGCACCUUCAACAGAAGAUCAAGUCUCAUUUCAGAGAGAUAAACGUCCACUCUGAUGUGAAGUACAUCGACCCCACGUACAUGCUCCGCGCCGUGCGUGCCAAUGCGUCUGAUGCCAUCCUGUGCACGGUGCUCGGUCAGAAUGCUGUUCAUGGCGCCUUUGCAGGGUUUAGCGGCAUCACAACCGGAAUAUGCAACACGCAUAACGUUUACCUGCCAAUACCUGAAGUUAUCAAGACGCCAAGGCUUGUCGAUCCAAACAGCAGGAUGUGGCACAGGUGCUUGACAUCCACAGGUCAACCUGACUUUUGUUGA